UCCAAUUAUCUAAACUAAAUCACUAACAUAGAUCUUAUCCAAUUCAUUCUUGCUAAUCUAUUGAGAAACCUCUUGAAGAAAUCACUAAACCUUUCAAUGUAAAAAUGUAAUUUAGGAAUAGUUUGCGAGCCUUUGUUGACUGAACAGUAAAAUUGAACGCAAUCAAGCAAUAAAAUAUUUGUCUUGAAAAUCGAUUAAUCAAAUUAAGGUAAAAAUCAGUCAAUAGAAAUGCUCUUAAAGUCUAAUUGUUGUCUUAAUGGUUACAUAUUUGAUUUGUAUUGAGAAAGAUGUUAGUGAUGUGCGACUUGAAAAUGAAAUGUUGAUAUUUUUUUGUUGACCGUCCAUUGUUAACUCAGUACUCAUGAUUAUAGACCCAGGGUUCAUGAAACUUGGAAUACUCAUGUUAAAGGUCACAUAACACCCGAACAUAGUGGACUAUCUUUUGGUUAUAUGAAUUUCAAGGAAUUUAAAGGACAAUUGGCAUGACCAUUAUGGGGGUGAACAUGGUGGUUGGUGGUAAUCACAUUUAUUAAUCAUUGUCUGUUGAUCAAUUUUUGAUUAAUCUUCAUUUUAAACGCUCUGUGGUUACAUUGAAAUAAUUAUUGUUCCAGAUUUCCGUUAAUUCAUUACUAACCCAAUCAUCCAAUUGUCUGUGCCAGUUUCCCAUGAACAAAUGUAUUCAAAGAAAAAAUUAUUGUGCCUAAUUUAUUUCACCCUGAUUAUGUAUUAUGUAUCUAUUAAUUAUUGAUUAACCCUGUUGACAGAAUAAUGAAGAUAUAAUAAAUUCUUCAUAUAACUUA
Long non-coding RNA from Tetranychus urticae (two-spotted spider mite), 800 nucleotides. RefSeq lists it as uncharacterized. NCBI's taxonomy places the organism in Eukaryota, Metazoa, Arthropoda, Arachnida, Trombidiformes, Tetranychidae. The record is from RefSeq and is a predicted model, not a curated record.